Molecule: ribosomal RNA, 392 nt
Filed under: uncultured bacterium
Lineage: Bacteria
Description: bacterial SSU rRNA
Rfam family: Bacterial small subunit ribosomal RNA
Source: RNAcentral
GACGAACGCUGGCGGCGUGCUUAACACAUGCAAGUCGAGCGGUAAGGCCCUUUCGGGGGUACACGAGCGGCGAACGGGUGAGUAACACGUGGGUGACCUGCCCUCAGCUCUGGGAUAAGCCUGGGAAACCGGGUCUAAUACUGGAUAUGACUCCAUGACGCAUGUUGUGGGGUGGAAAGCCUUGUGCGGCUGAGGAUGGGCCCGCGGCCUAUCAGCUUGUUGGUGGGGUGANGGCCUACCAAGGCGACGACGGGUAGCCGGCCUGAGAGGGCGACCGGCCACACUGGGACUGAGACACGGCCCAGACUCCUACGGGAGGCAGCAGUGGGGAAUCUUGCGCAAUGGGCGAAAGCCUGACGCAGCGACGCCGCGUGAGGGAUGACGGCCUGUGU